Molecule: ribosomal RNA, 1889 nt
Filed under: Zygoascus hellenicus
Lineage: Eukaryota; Fungi; Ascomycota; Dipodascomycetes; Dipodascales; Trichomonascaceae
Description: SSU rRNA
Rfam family: Eukaryotic small subunit ribosomal RNA
Source: RNAcentral
AAAGAUUAAGCCAUGCAUGUCUAAGUAUAAGCAAUCUAUACAGUGAAACUGCGAAUGGCUCAUUAAAUCAGUUAUCGUUUAUUUGAUAAUCCAUUACUACUUGGAUAACCGUGGUAAUUCUAGAGCUAAUACAUGCUAAAAAUCCCUUCUUAUGUUGGGAUGUAUUUAUUAGAUAAAAAACCAAUGUCUUCGGACUCUUUGGUGAUUCAUAAUAACUUUUCGAAUCGCAUGGCCUUGCGCCGGCGAUGGUUCAUUCAAAUUUCUGCCCUAUCAACUUUCGAUGGUAGGAUAGUGGCCUACCAUGGUAUCAACGGGUAACGGGGAAUAAGGGUUCUAUUCCGGAGAGGGAGCCUGAGAAACGGCUACCACAUCCAAGGAAGGCAGCAGGCGCGCAAAUUACCCAAUCCUAAUUCAGGGAGGUAGUGACAAUAAAUAACGAUACAGGGCCCAUUGGGUCUUGUAAUUGGAAUGAGAACAAUUUAAAUACCUUAUCGAGGAACAAUUAGAGGGCAAGUCUGGUGCCAGCAGCCCGCGGUAAUUCCAGCUCUAAUAGCGUAUAUUAAAGUUGUUGCAGUUAAAAAGCUCGUAGUUGAACUUCGGGCCUGAUUUGCUGGUCCGCCGCAAGGCGUGUACUGGUUUCGAAUCGGGCCUUUCCUCCUGACUACCCAUGAUGUUCUUAACCGGAUGUCUUGGCGGCUCAGGACUUUUACUUUGAAAAAAUUAGAGUGUUCAAAGCAGGCCUUUGCUCGAAUAUAUUAGCAUGGAAUAAUAGAAUAGGACGUAUGGUUCUAUUUUGUUGGUUUCUAGGACCGUCGUAAUGAUUAAUAGGGACAGUCGGGGGCAUCAGUAUUCAAUUGUCAGAGGUGAAAUUCUUGGAUUUAUUGAAGACUAACUACUGCGAAAGCAUUUGCCAAGGAUGUUUUCAUUAAUCAAGAACGAAAGUUAGGGGAUCGAAAACGAUCAGAUACCGUUGUAGUCUUAACCAUAAACUAUGCCGACUAGGGAUCGGGCGAUGUUCAUUUUAGACUCGCUCGGCACCUUACGAGAAAUCAAAGUUUUUGGGUUCUGGGGGGAGUAUGGUCGCAAGUCUGAAACUUAAAGGAAUUGACGGAAGGGCACCACCAGGAGUGGAGCCUGCGGCUUAAUUUGACUCAACACGGGGAAACUCACCAGGUCCAGACACAAUAAGGAUUGACAGAUUGAGAGCUCUUUCUUGAUUUUGUGGGUGGUGGUGCAUGGCCGUUCUUAGUUGGUGGAGUGAUUUGUCUGCUUAAUUGCGAUAACGAACGAGACCUUAACCUACUAAAUAGCUCGAUUAGCUUUGGCUGAUUAUUAGCUUCUUAGAGGGACUAUCGACUUUAAGUCGAAGGAAGUUUGAGGCAAUAACAGGUCUGUGAUGCCCUUAGACGUUCUGGGCCGCACGCGCGCUACACUGACGGAGCCAACGAGUACAUAACCUUGUCCGAGAGGUCUGGGUAAUCUUGUUAAACUCCGUCGUGCUGGGGAUAGAGCUUUGCAAUUAUUGCUCUUCAACGAGGAAUUCCUAGUAAGCGCAAGUCAUCAGCUUGCGUUGAUUAUGUCCCUGCCCUUUGUACACACCGCCCGUCACUACUACCGAUUGAAUGGCUUAGUGAGACCUCCGGAUUUAUCUCAGAAGUGGGGCAACCCAUUAUCAGAGAUGAAGAAGUUGGUCAAACUUGGUCAUUUAGAGGAAGUAAAAGUCGUAACAAGGUUUCCGUAGGUGAACCUGCGGAAGGAUCAUUAUUGAAUUUUUGAUUUUAACAAUCUUAUAUUCUUGUGAACUUUAUAAACUUUGCUUGGGUUAAUAGUAUUGGAGACUUUAUUGUUACCCAAAGUUUUUUACAAAAACACUUUAUUAAAAAAAAAAA